CCUACGGGAGGCAGCAGUGGGGAAUAUUGGACAAUGGGGGGAACCCUGAUCCAGCGACGCCGCGUGAGUGAAGAAGUAUUUCGGUAUGUAAAGCUCUAUCAGCAGGGAAGAAAGAAAUGACGGUACCUGACUAAGAAGCCCCGGCUAACUACGUGCCAGCAGCCGCGGUAAUACGUAGGGGGCAAGCGUUAUCCGGAUUUACUGGGUGUAAAGGGAGCGUAGACGGCGAUGCAAGUCUGAAGUGAAAGGCGGGGGGCCAACCCCCGGACUGCAUUGGAAACUGUAUGGCUGGAGUGCAGGAGAGGUAAGUGGAAUUCGUAGUGUAGCGGUGAAAUGCGUAGAUAUUAGGAGGAACACCAGUGGCGAAGGCGGCUUACUGGACUGUAACUGACGUUGAGGCUCGAAAGCGUGGGGAGCAAACAGGAUUAGAUACCCCUGUAGUC
This 443-nucleotide ribosomal RNA is filed under the name uncultured bacterium. RNAcentral describes it as "partial 16S ribosomal RNA". It matches the Rfam family "Bacterial small subunit ribosomal RNA", at positions 338 to 795 of the family's 1533-position model. The record is from RNAcentral.